RNA transcript from Mercenaria mercenaria, 760 nucleotides. RefSeq lists it as uncharacterized. The transcript has 5 exons. The record is from RefSeq and is a predicted model, not a curated record. NCBI's taxonomy places the organism in Eukaryota, Metazoa, Mollusca, Bivalvia, Venerida, Veneridae.
GGGGACAACAUGAAGCAGGUGCCACUUAUGUACGUGCUGAUGUCAAGACGCCGAAAGCAGGACUAUGUUGCUAUCCUGCAGAAGGUUCUUGACAUUCUGGAAGAGGCUCCAGCAGUAGAGUGCUUCACCAUGGACUUUGAGAUAGCUCUGUGGCAGGCCCUGAGGGAGGUGUUCCCCAGUAGUAAGCUUAAGGGUUGUGCAUUCCACUGGUCACAGGCUGUACAGAAGCAUGUCGGAGAGUUUGGUCUCGCCAGAACAUACAGAGAACGCCAGUCAGUACACAGUCUGAUACGCAAGUUUUAGCACUGCCAUUCCUCCCUGCAGCAGACAUUAAACGGGCCUUCAGGAAAUUACAAGAGCAGGCGGAAGACAGUUCUGAACAAGUCCAGGACCUCUUCACUUAUGUAAGCGACGAGUGGCUUGAAAGCUCUAAAUGGUCUGAAGAUGAGUGAUCUGUGUACCGUCAGACCAUCCGUACCAACAAUGACACAGAGGGGUGGCACCGAAAACUGAACACAAAGGCCGGCAGAGGGAAGGUCAAGACCUACCGCCUUCUGGAGAUCCUCCUUGUAGAAUCUAAGUUGGUGAAUCUAGAAGUGACCAGACUUCUUGAAGGAAGUACAUCCGUCGAUGUCGUCUCAGUGACGAAUGGUUGUUUGAUUUAUGGGAUCAGUAUGAUAACCAUGACAUUGUGUGUGAAGAAUUCCUUGGAAAUGUGGGAACGUAUUAGGACAGUUUUAGGUGAUAAGGAGAUGUAUUG